UCCCUAAAUUCCUCAAAUCAAAAUCCCUCUGAAACCGAAAUCCCUAAAAUCAAAAUCCCUCUGAAAUCGAAAUCCCUAAAAUCUCCAAAAUCCCAAUCCAUUGAUCCAACUAUUAGAAACCAAAAUCCCCAAAAUCCUCAAAUCAAAAUCAUUCAAAAUCAAAAUAGUGGUGAACGACGGCCUUCGCAAAGUGACGCGGGUGAACGACGGCCUUCGCCCGAGUGACGAGCAGCAGCGACUGUGAACGACGAGUGACGAGCAACUGUGAGCGACUGUGAACGGCCAUUCAUAAAGAAAUUGCGUGGCAGCGGCUUGAUGAGAUUCAACCUGCAAGUGAGGAUGUGAUAUCUCGUGGGACCACUGGCCUCAAGCUCUAUAUGGUUGCUCAUUUCUUGGUAUCUUUGAAAGCUUGGAUUUUAGCACAUAAGCCCCCAGCAACACCAAAAUCUAAUUUGCCUUUGAAAGGAACACUUGUUAGCAAGACCAAAAAAUAAAUACACGAAAUGGAUAUGUUGAGCUAUGGAGCUUUGACAAACGAUGGAAAUGACGGCAGUGAAGGAUGUAAGGGAUUAAGAAUGGUAAUGGCAACAAUAAAAUAAAUACACGAAAUGGAUAUGUUGAGCUAUGGAGCUUUGACAAACGAUGGAAAUGACGGCAGUGAAGGAUGUAAGGGAUUAAGAAUGGUAAUGGCAACAAUAAUAUGGUAGGGAUUUGGGCUAAGAGUUAGGCUUUGUAGAGGGGUGAGGGGGUUUCGAUAGUAGAGAGGGGUGCCAUCAGUAGGUGGGUGUAAAUCUGGUCUCUCUCUCUUUUCUUUUAUUUUAUAAUUAAGAAAAACAUUAUUUUGCUCUACUCUCGGUCACUCUAGAGAAAAUAUUCUAAAGGAUCUGAACACGAUGGAGUAAA
Molecule: non-coding RNA, 903 nt
Organism: Camellia sinensis
Lineage: Eukaryota; Viridiplantae; Streptophyta; Magnoliopsida; Ericales; Theaceae
Source: RefSeq, a predicted model, not a curated record